Pseudophryne corroboree (corroboree frog) is the source of this 695-nucleotide long non-coding RNA. RefSeq lists it as uncharacterized. The record is from RefSeq and is a predicted model, not a curated record. The transcript has 5 exons. NCBI's taxonomy places the organism in Eukaryota, Metazoa, Chordata, Amphibia, Anura, Myobatrachidae.
CGGCUUCUGUUCAGGCGCCGCCUCGGCUGUGAGCCGCGCCUCUGGUCUGCCUCUUCGCUGAUGCUCCCCUGGGAAGUGGCUGCUGUUCGGGCGCCACCUUGGCUGUGAGCCACGCCUCUAGUCUGCCUCUUCGCUGACGCUCCCCUGGGCAGUGGCUGUUGUUUGGGCACCGCCUCCGCUGUUGGCCGCGCCUCUGGUCCGCCUUUGUCGCUGACAGAACCUUCAGCGGCUGGAGCGCUUCUCUUCUGGAUGCUGUAUCAGAGAUGUUCAUUAAAUUACCAGUCCACCAUGGAACAUUUACUUUUCUCACCAUAACGGAGGUACUAGAUCACAUUUCUUCCUGAAUCCUACAACUCCUGUUCUCAGCUCUGACAGCUGAGGUGAUCGUGGCUCAUCACUUUGGGGACUAGCCAAAAUUGCCUGUGGUGGCUGGGCCAGCACUGCGGAGAUGCGCCGCCUGGGUGGUGAAGAUGGAGCCGCAGAAUCAGACUCCACACGACGCGUCUUACUGGGCCUCCUAGAAUAUGUGACUACAGUGAAUUCUUACCUGCAUUCCCACCAUCUCCAUCAUUUGGCUGUGGCCUGUCUGUGGCGCUUCACUGGCGUACUGUUGAAAAAUUUGAAUCAACAUUAUUACCAUACGUUGAAUAUUCAUUGUUAUAUGAAACUCCUUAUUGUGAUGUAAACAUCUUGAA